CCAAGUCACCGCAUCCUUACUCAAAACAUGUCUUUAAAACCUGAAAACUUUCGUAAUAACACUGUUUUCUUUUGCAAAAAAAUUUGGUGGGGCUAAAGGUAUGGGGAGAUUAGAUUAUACUAAAGAUCUACUAUAUUCGGUGACUCGUCAGACUCAUGCAUUAUACUAAAAAGAAAAAAUAAACAACUAAAAGGAAAUAAACUACCUAAAGUGACUCGUCAGACUCAUGCAUUAUACUAAAAAGAAAAAAUAAACAACUAAAAGGAAAUAAACUACCUAAAAACAACAA
This 289-nucleotide long non-coding RNA is filed under the name Lathyrus oleraceus (garden pea). RNAcentral's name for it is "Pisum sativum (pea) long non-coding RNA (PSAT_LNC037711)". Lineage: Eukaryota; Viridiplantae; Streptophyta; Magnoliopsida; Fabales; Fabaceae. The record is from RNAcentral.